RNAcentral lists this long non-coding RNA (234 nucleotides) under Eucalyptus grandis. RNAcentral's name for it is "long non-coding RNA (EGRA_LNC004556)". The record is from RNAcentral. Lineage: Eukaryota; Viridiplantae; Streptophyta; Magnoliopsida; Myrtales; Myrtaceae.
AGAAGAUGAGCCGAGCGGAGAAGAAGAUGAGCCGGAGAAGAAGAUGAACAGUAAUUUUUGCAUUUCUGGAAUGCCGAAUGCCCAAUGCCGCCCCUCCCCAGCUUUCAGCAUUCAGCCUUCGGAAUGUCCAUAUUUGGGCAAAGGGGCUUUCAAAUAUUUUGCCAAACACCACAAUUUUUCCCCAAGGGGCUUUGGGGGCCCAAAGCCCCUUGGGAAUGCCCAACCAAACACCCC